RNAcentral lists this ribosomal RNA (1060 nucleotides) under Staphylococcus aureus. RNAcentral describes it as "partial 23S ribosomal RNA". It matches the Rfam family "Bacterial large subunit ribosomal RNA", at positions 89 to 1145 of the family's 2925-position model. The record is from RNAcentral. Lineage: Bacteria; Bacillati; Bacillota; Bacilli; Caryophanales; Staphylococcaceae.
UAAGUAAGCUUUGAUCCAGAGAUUUCCGAAUGGGGAAACCCAGCAUGAGUUAUGUCAUGUUAUCGAUAUGUGAAUACAUAGCAUAUCAGAAGGCACACCCGGAGAACUGAAACAUCUUAGUACCCGGAGGAAGAGAAAGAAAAUUCGAUUCCCUUAGUAGCGGCGAGCGAAACGGGAAGAGCCCAAACCAACAAGCUUGCUUGUUGGGGUUGUAGGACACUCUAUACGGAGUUACAAAGGACGACAUUAGACGAAUCAUCUGGAAAGAUGAAUCAAAGAAGGUAAUAAUCCUGUAGUCGAAAAUGUUGUCUCUCUUGAGUGGAUCCUGAGUACGACGGAGCACGUGAAAUUCCGUCGGAAUCUGGGAGGACCAUCUCCUAAGGCUAAAUACUCUCUAGUGACCGAUAGUGAACCAGUACCGUGAGGGAAAGGUGAAAAGCACCCCGGAAGGGGAGUGAAAUAGAACCUGAAACCGUGUGCUUACAAGUAGUCAGAGCCCGUUAAUGGGUGAUGGCGUGCCUUUUGUAGAAUGAACCGGCGAGUUACGAUUUGAUGCAAGGUUAAGCAGUAAAUGUGGAGCCGUAGCGAAAGCGAGUCUGAAUAGGGCGUUUAGUAUUUGGUCGUAGACCCGAAACCAGGUGAUCUACCCUUGGUCAGGUUGAAGUUCAGGUAACACUGAAUGGAGGACCGAACCGACUUACGUUGAAAAGUGAGCGGAUGAACUGAGGGUAGCGGAGAAAUUCCAAUCGAACCUGGAGAUAGCUGGUUCUCUCCGAAAUAGCUUUAGGGCUAGCCUCAAGUGAUGAUUAUUGGAGGUAGAGCACUGUUUGGACGAGGGGCCCCUCUCGGGUUACCGAAUUCAGACAAACUCCGAAUGCCAAUUAAUUUAACUUGGGAGUCAGAACAUGGGUGAUAAGGUCCGUGUUCGAAAGGGAAACAGCCCAGACCACCAGCUAAGGUCCCAAAAUAUAUGUUAAGUGGAAAAGGAUGUGGCGUUGCCCAGACAACUAGGAUGUUGGCUUAGAAGCAGCCAUCAUUUAAAGAGUGCGUAAUAGCUCAC